AAAAAAAGAGAUUUGCUCCUGGUCAUACAACACCACCAUGACAAUAUUGUUAUUUAUUUAUUUUUUGCAGGUGACGAUAUUGUUAUUUUAGUAAACAUGUCAUCAUAUCUUAGCUAGUUAAUAUUUGUUUCUAGGUGCAGAUGGUGCACUGGCACCCCCCAUCCUCAACACACUUAGAGGUCCAACUGCACGGAUAACACUGAGUCCGGUUGAAAAAUGCGCCACAUGUUGUCCUACAACUGGGGUCAUCACACCGUGGUGGAUAAGUAGUCCUUCCAAAGCAUGCACCCUCUGUAGACGCAAAAUAGUAUCAUAAAAAAUGAAAUUGCACAUCAAUAUUUGUCAUCUUGGAUGCGUUAUUAAAGCAAGGUUCCACAUGAGAAAAUGAGUACCUGCUGCCAUCACGAGGAGCGCAAGGGUGAGCAAAACCAUGAUUGUGGUCCUCAUCUUUGAUAUCUAGAUGACGCUGCUAAUUGAAAACGCGGUUGGUAGAUGUUUGUGAGUUGUG
This 508-nucleotide long non-coding RNA is filed under the name Triticum aestivum (bread wheat). RNAcentral describes it as "long non-coding RNA (TAES_LNC028169)". The record is from RNAcentral. Lineage: Eukaryota; Viridiplantae; Streptophyta; Magnoliopsida; Poales; Poaceae.